RNAcentral lists this ribosomal RNA (493 nucleotides) under uncultured bacterium. Its description in RNAcentral is "bacterial SSU rRNA". It matches the Rfam family "Bacterial small subunit ribosomal RNA", at positions 35 to 507 of the family's 1533-position model. The record is from RNAcentral.
GCUGGCGGCAUGCCUAACACAUGCAAGUCGAACGGCAGCAGGCUAAAGAAGCCCUCGGGCGGAUUUGGUGCUGGCGAGUGGCGGACGGGUGAGUAAUACGCAGGGAUCUACCCUCAGGACUGGGAUAACCUACGGAAACGUGGGCUAAUAGUGGAUAUUCUCCGAGGAGGAAAGCCUCGUUAUUUAUAGCGGGACGCCUGAGGAAGAACCUGCGGACGAUUAGCUAGUUGGUGAGGUAAGAGCUCACCAAGGCGACGAUCGAUAGCUGUUCUGAGAGGAAGAGCAGCCACACUGGGACUGAGACACGGCCCAGACUCCUACGGGAGGCAGCAGUGGGGAAUAUUGGACAAUGGGGGCAACCCUGAUCCAGCGAUGCCGCGUGUGUGAAGAAGGCCUGCGGGUUGUAAAGCACUUUCAGUAGAGAAGAAAAGCUUACGGUUAAUACCCGUGAGUCUUGACGUAACCUACAGAAGAAGCACCGGCUAACUCCGUG